UACGUAGGGUGCAAGCGUUAAUCGGAAUUACUGGGCGUAAAGCGUGCGCAGGCGGUUGUGCAAGACCGAUGUGAAAUCCCCGGGCUCAACCUGGGAAUGGCAUUGGUGACUGCACGGCUAGAGUGUGUCAGAGGGGGGUAGAAUUCCACGUGUAGCAGUGAAAUGCGUAGAGAUCGGGAGGAACACCUGUGGCGAAGGCGGCCGACUGGGCCGACCCUGACGCUGAGGCGCGAAGGCGUGGGGAGCGAACGGG
This 253-nucleotide ribosomal RNA is filed under the name uncultured bacterium. Its description in RNAcentral is "partial 16S ribosomal RNA". It matches the Rfam family "Bacterial small subunit ribosomal RNA", at positions 524 to 776 of the family's 1533-position model. The record is from RNAcentral.